GGUCUAGUAGACUUAACGUCUGGACAAGCCGCGUGGCUUGGGCCCACGAAAUCGGCGGUUCAAAUCCGCCCAGCCCCACCA
Molecule: transfer RNA, 81 nt
Filed under: archaeon 13_1_20CM_2_54_9
Lineage: Archaea
Also listed under: 2 other names
Description: tRNA-Pro
Rfam family: tRNA
About the family: Transfer RNA (tRNA) molecules are approximately 80 nucleotides in length. Their secondary structure includes four short double-helical elements and three loops (D, anti-codon, and T loops).
Source: RNAcentral